RNAcentral lists this ribosomal RNA (460 nucleotides) under uncultured Bacteroidota bacterium. RNAcentral describes it as "bacterial SSU rRNA". It matches the Rfam family "Bacterial small subunit ribosomal RNA", at positions 338 to 795 of the family's 1533-position model. Lineage: Bacteria; Pseudomonadati; Bacteroidota. The record is from RNAcentral.
CCUACGGGGGGCUGCAGUGAGGAAUAUUGGUCAAUGGACGCAAGUCUGAACCAGCCAUGCCGCGUGAAGGAAGACACAUUUAGGUGCGUAAACUUCUUUUAUACGGGAAAAAACCUUUGGUCGUGCACCAGAGCUGAUGGUACCGUAUGAAUAAGCAUCGGCUAACUCCGUGCCAGCAGCCGCGGUAAUACGGAGGAUGCAAGCGUUAUCCGGAUUUAUUGGGUUUAAAGGGUGCGCAGGCGGAAUAUUAAGUCAGUGGUGAAAGCCUACAGCUCAACUGUAGAACUGCCGUUGAUACUGAUAUUCUUGAGUUUUGUUGAGGUAGGCGGAAUGUGUCAUGUAGCGGUGAAAUGCUUAGAUAUGACAAGGAACACCGAUCGCGAAGGCAGCUUACCAAGCAAAUACUGACGCUCAUGCACGAAAGCGUGGGGAUCAAACAGGAUUAGAUACCCCGGUAGUC